UAUAUACAUGUAACACUCAGAAACGUGUCCUUCCCCCAAAACGUGUCCGAUUCCCCAAACGUGUCCACAUCGACGUCACUGAACUGCAAAAACAUGUCUAGUUGUCAAAGGGCGCCAAAGCGUGUCAUUUGUAUAAACGCUCAAAACGUCAUUUUUUAAUAACCCCAAUCUGUCAAUUCCCCAAACGUGUCCAUACCAAGCUUUUUUUUUAUUUUACUGGAACUAUCAUUCGUAUUCAUAUUAUAAAAACGUAGGUUAUUUGUGUGUUUUUUUUUAUUAUUGUCAUUGUAUACUCAUUUUACGAUCUUUUACUAUUUCCUUAAAAGAUCAAAAUAAAUUUCUUAAAUUCUUUUUCUAUGCGCAUUAAAAUGUUUAUAGCAUUUCACUCUUUAUAAUGUGCCAUACGUUGUAUUUUGGAAGGCAACAUUUUUGUUAAUUUCUGCAACUUUUAUUUGAAACGGCCUCUAUAUUACAUAACAGACAUUGAAGUAGUUUCUUACUUCAAAGUCAUAAACAAAUCGGUCUUUACUCGCAUUUAUUUUUCUUUUGAUUUAAAUCCAAACUAGUGGUCAUCCCAGAUAACCGUAAAAAUUAAUGGCCAAUUUUAAAUUCCGGUUUGAUAAUAUAACCUAUCUACAGUAUAUGUCGUUAAUAUAAUAUCGUUCAAAUAACGAAUGAAAUAUUUGUCACUGGACGUUAUUUCUCUUGUUCUGUGUCUUUAGUGACGCUCGUAACCUAAAAUUUAUUAAAAAUUAGAACUGUUAAAAGAAGAUGGGAGGUCAAUUCGACUGAAAGCCCACCGUGCAAUAUUCUAUUAAUAUAAAAGGCAUCAUCGGAGUUUAUUAGUAUAAAAUAAUUUACAUAGUAAACGAUUACUAUCAACUGUAUUAGAAUUAUCUGUAUGUUUGCUUUAAAUGAGCACGAAAUACUUGCAACUGGACAAUAAGCAAAUUAAGUCAAAAGUUAAUGCAUAUGUUACAUAUUAAAUUUUCAGUAAUUAUAAUCAUUAACAACCGGCAUUGAACAAGUUAAUGCUAAUAUUACCACUUCAUCGACUGUGUCCCCCAUCAUAGAACUGCCGUGAACGUGUAUUGAUGUCGCGUUUAGGACAUGUAUUAGCGCUAAAAGACGCGAGACUUCUUGCGUUAAAAAGUGGACACGUUUGGGCGAAUAACAAUAGUAUCAGGC
RNAcentral lists this long non-coding RNA (1188 nucleotides) under Mytilus galloprovincialis (Mediterranean mussel). Lineage: Eukaryota; Metazoa; Mollusca; Bivalvia; Mytilida; Mytilidae. The record is from RNAcentral.